This is a long non-coding RNA of Pygocentrus nattereri (red-bellied piranha), 872 nucleotides long. The record is from Ensembl. NCBI's taxonomy places the organism in Eukaryota, Metazoa, Chordata, Actinopteri, Characiformes, Serrasalmidae.
AUGAAGACUGUGUUUGUGCUUCUCGCUAUUGCUGUUACAUACACCUGUGGCGCUCCCUUUAAACAGUUGAAGGAGUUGAAGGCACAAGUAGACGAGAUCCUUAAAAAAUUGCCCACGGAGCAGCUAGAUUCUAUCUUUGUGAUGGAAAUUGAAAAGAAGGUUUUCAGUGAUUGUGAGUCGGAGUUUUUCUGUCAAGUUGAGAAAGUACUGUCUGGAAACAACAAGUUGUCCCAACUCUCUGAGUUUCAGAAAGAUCAAGGCUUGCUAAGACAUUUGAGUGCAUACAACCAGAAACAUGUGAAAAACUGCAGCGUGGUGUCCAGAGGGGAUGAAAUCACCCUGCAUUUGUUCCUCCAGCACCUGAACAAAUGUAUCCAGAAAAAAACCUCACAGGACAAAUGACCUGAGCUCUUCUCUUCUCAACAAAUUUUCUGUUCUAAUUUAUGAAAGAAGAUAUUUAUAUUUUCUUGAAAACCCCUAAAACCAUUGCAUUUUAUUUAUUUUUUGUUCUUCUAUGACAACUAUUUUCCACUAUUGGUCUUUGAGUAAAUGUAUUGCAGAAAUAAUGCCAUCACUUUCACAUUGUCAUAUGAGCAGGUUUGAAUUAAAAGCAGAUUAUUAAUAAUGCACUUGUGAUGUGAUUAUUUAGUCUUAUCAACCUUGUCAUUAACAUGCUGCUCUUUACUACUUUCGUAAGCAAUAGCACUUUUAUUUGUGUUCUGCAUCAUGUUUUUACAUCAUCUACUGAUUUGAAGGCAUCCAGCUAUUCCUUUACUAAGAUGAAAGGACCAAAUCUAACAAGUUAGAUAUUGACUAAAACAAUGUAAUAGGCAUAGAUCACACAUAGGUCAAAUAAGAGCUAUUAGGUGCUG